Molecule: ribosomal RNA, 181 nt
Filed under: uncultured bacterium
Lineage: Bacteria
Description: partial 16S ribosomal RNA
Rfam family: Bacterial small subunit ribosomal RNA
Source: RNAcentral
AUGAAGUCGGAAUUGCUAGUAAUCGCAGAUCAGCAUGCUGCGGUGAAUACGUUCCCGGGCCUUGUACACACCGCCCGUCACACCAUGGGAGUCGGUAACACCCGAAGCCUGUAGUCUAACCGCAAGGAGGACGCAGUCGAAGGUGGGAUUGAUGACUGGGGUGAAGUCGUAACAAGGUAAC